UCAGGGGACCGGGGGGUGGGGUGGGCUCCAAGGCCCCCUCCUGUGCCUGAGUCUCCCAGAUGCAGACGCCAACAAGCCGGGACCCUGCGUGACGGCCCGUUGGCGCAGGCCAGGGUCAAGUGGUGGGGCAGAGGCCACAGCCCUGAUACUGGCUUUUGCCUUGCUUUGUGGGGCCUCAACUCUCUCUGGGUCUCCACAGUCUCCCUUCCCAUGAGACCUGGAAGACCAGGGUGGGGAACCUGCAGGGUUUGUCCCUGCCCCAGGGCCUUUGCACUUACCCUGGUCUCCUCACUAGAGGCGCCCCCCCCCCCCCAGAUCCCUGCCUAGCGGCUCACUCUCCUUGAGUCUCAGGUCUUCCACUGAUACACAUCGCCCCCAACCUCCACCCCAUCUAGUCUUCCUCUUUCCUGAAGAUUUUUAAUAUCACAUCAACUUGUCAUUUCAUUUCAAACCAUUAACACUCUAUGUUAGCCCGCCAGGGACCUCUGUCCGUGGGGAUUCUCCAGACAUCGCCCAUGGAGUCUCUGACAGAUAAACAGACCCCCAGGGGAGUAGGUGUCUGGCCUCCCCAUUUGGGGAUGUGGUGCUGGCUGGAUCUGGAAGUUCGAGUCCUGGUUCGUCCUCCCUCUCCUGGCUGGGCUGCAGAAACUUCACGUCCAAGCAGCCUUGGAGGGGGUCUGGCAUGCACAGAACUCCAGGAGAAGUUUCCAUGAAACAAUCAUCUCUAGCCAGAUGUUCUCGGUUUUUAAGCCACAUUUUUUUUUUUUUUUUUAACCUAAGAGGGACCGAUUUCCCCAUUUCUCGGGAGGGGAAGAACAGAAGGGAAGAAGCCCAGCUCAGGCAAUCUGGUUGACACUGCAGCUGAGGACGAGAGGCCAAGGCCUGGGCCCCCGGAGCCCGCUGAGCCAGCAAUCAGCAAUGCUCCGGCCGUCCAUCAGGCGGGGGAGGACAGGAGGCAAAAGAUGUGUUUUCUUUGCGCAUUUAUGCGUUAAGAAAAGAGAGAGCACGGCAUGGAAAAUGGACAAGGCGGCCGUGAGCACGCUUCCUCCCACUCCUGGGUUUAUGGAAACGCAGACGUCAACUCAAUGUCCACAAAAGCAAACUAUUUUUCCCCCAACGUCGACAGUUCUGCCAGUUCAUCUAGUCCAUUUCUCGGAGCCACUCUGAGUUUCUGUCAA
Molecule: long non-coding RNA, 1178 nt
Organism: Odocoileus virginianus texanus
Lineage: Eukaryota; Metazoa; Chordata; Mammalia; Artiodactyla; Cervidae
Source: RefSeq, a predicted model, not a curated record